UACGUAGGGGGCAAGCGUUGUCCGGAGUUACUGGGCGUAAAGGGCGCGCAGGCGGUCUGCUAAGUUCGGAGUGACAGUCAUCAGCUUAACUGGUGAAGUACUUUGAAAACUGGCGGACUUGAGAGCGAGAGAGGGACAUGGAAUUCCGGGUGGAGCAGUGAAAUGCGUAGAGAUCUGGAGGAACACCAAAGGCGCAGGCAGUGUCCUGGUUCGUAUCUGACGCUCAGGCGCGAAAGCCAGGGGAGCGAAC
Molecule: ribosomal RNA, 250 nt
Filed under: uncultured bacterium
Lineage: Bacteria
Description: partial 16S ribosomal RNA
Rfam family: Bacterial small subunit ribosomal RNA
Source: RNAcentral